Molecule: long non-coding RNA, 721 nt
Organism: Coffea arabica (coffee)
Lineage: Eukaryota; Viridiplantae; Streptophyta; Magnoliopsida; Gentianales; Rubiaceae
Source: RefSeq, a predicted model, not a curated record
UCUUAUUAGUCAGUGAAGUUCUUCUUCAUUUAAGCAUACUUUCCUUCCUCUUUCUUUGCGUCGCGUAGCCUCUUCCUUUCCGCCGAUUAGUAGCCAGCUAUAUGAGCCUGCAAAAUCUUCAAUUUUCAACCAAUUCCUUCAACGACUAAUCGUCCUUCCUUUUGAUUGCAAUCCACAAAUUCCUCCGCACGCACGUGAAUUUUUGUUUUACCCCAAAAAUUAGGUCACUGAAAUUUCUUUUCCCCAAAAUCUGCGAGCCUGCAAAAUUUUCAGUUUUCUGCCAAUUGCUCCAGCAACUAAUUGUACUUCCUUUCGAUUCACUUCCAAAAAAUCCUCCUCAUCCACGUGAAUUCUUCUUUUCUCCCAAAAAACAGCUCAUUUUAGGUAUGGCUACUGUACCGAGUUAUCAUCCAUGUACAGCUUUGAGAACUUACUAUUUCCAGCCUUAUAUAUACCUUUGUUUCCCACUUUUGCCGGUAUUCAGAAGAGGAGCAAACAAAAUCUAGCCAAGCAAAGAAAAUAUAGGUCUGCUUGCUGUUCUCCUCAUGGUCUUCAUUUUCUGUACGUGCAAAAAGAAGCCUUGAGUUUCCAGAAAGUCCAUCUCAAAAUGAAGCUUUCCUGACAGACACUCCUCCUAAACGUGCAACAGAAGCUGGCAAUAUCAAAGACAGCCCAGCAAAGAAAGCUAAGCCUAAGCAAGACUGAUAUGCCCUCAUUAUGG